This 240-nucleotide unclassified non-coding RNA is filed under the name soil metagenome. RNAcentral describes it as "partial contains 5.8S ribosomal RNA, internal transcribed spacer 2, and large subunit ribosomal RNA". The record is from RNAcentral.
AACGGUCUAUACCUGCGGUACCUGCGGAAGGAUCAUUACCGAGUGCGGGCCCUCUGGGUCCAACCUCCCACCCGUGUUUACCGUACCUUGUUGCUUCGGCGGGCCCGCCGUCAGGCCGCCGGGGGCUCCCCGCCCCGGGCCCGCGCCCGCCGAAGACACCCCUGAACGCUGUCUGAAGAAUGCAGUCUGAGCGAUAAGCAAAAUUUAGUUAAAACUUUUAGCAAUGGAUCUCUAGAUCGG